Molecule: ribosomal RNA, 557 nt
Filed under: uncultured bacterium
Lineage: Bacteria
Description: bacterial SSU rRNA
Rfam family: Bacterial small subunit ribosomal RNA
Source: RNAcentral
ACGGGUGAGUAACGCGUGGGAAUCUACCUUGUGGUACGGAACAACCAAGGGAAACUUUGGCUAAUACCGUAUGAGCCCUUCGGGGGAAAGAUUUAUCGCCAUAAGAUGAGCCCGCGUAGGAUUAGCCAGUUGGUGAGGUAAUGGCUCACCAAGGCGACGAUCCUUAGCUGGUCUGAGAGGAUGACCAGCCACACUGGGACUGAGACACGGCCCAGACUCCUACGGGAGGCAGCAGUGGGGAAUAUUGGACAAUGGGCGCAAGCCUGAUCCAGCCAUGCCGCGUGUGUGAUGAAGGCCUUAGGGUUGUAAAGCACUUUCGCCGAUGAAGAUAAUGACUGUAGUCGGAGAAGAAGCCCCGGCUAACUUCGUGCCAGCAGCCGCGGUAAUACGAAGGGGGCUAGCGUUGUUCGGAAUUACUGGGCGUAAAGCGUACGUAGGCGGAUUGUUAAGUGAGGGGUGAAAUCCCGAGGCUCAACCUCGGAACUGCCUUUCAUACUGGCAAUCUUGAGUCCGGGAGAGGUGAGUGGAACUCCUAGUGUAGAGGUGAAAUUCGUAGA